CGGCCGUAAACUAUGCUCGCUAGGUGUCAGGCAUGGCGCGACCGUGUCUGGUGCCGCAGGGAAGCCGUGAAGCGAGCCACCUGGGAAGUACGGCCGCAAGGCUGAAACUUAAAGGAAUUGGCGGGGGAGCACAACAACGGGUGGAGCCUGCGGUUUAAUUGGACUCAACGCCGGACAACUCACCGGGGACGACAGCAAUAUGUAGGCCAGGCUGAAGACCUUGCCUGAAUCGCUGAGAGGAGGUGCAUGGCGUAGACGUCU
RNAcentral lists this ribosomal RNA (261 nucleotides) under uncultured archaeon. RNAcentral's name for it is "partial 16S ribosomal RNA". It matches the Rfam family "Archaeal small subunit ribosomal RNA", at positions 748 to 1009 of the family's 1478-position model. The record is from RNAcentral.